UGCCCCCGCCCCUCGUACUCUUGCCCAAUUAGAUAGGAUGAGCGGAAUCUCCUCUCUGCUUGGUCUCCGCGAGGAGGUGAGGUUUAGUCUUUUGGUGAAGAGAGGCGGCCUGGGAACUCCAGCAUGGACUGGGGCUUCUGCGUUGCCGAUCUACCCAUAUUUCCAAUGCUUUCCAAACCUUAUACUAAAGAAGAGCAUUGGUUGGUUCCUCAAAGGUAAAGAAACCUUGCUAUCAACAGUACCAACUUCCUCCAGGUAAGAUAAUAACAGGCUAUAUAUAUAUACGUAUAUAUACAUACGUAUAUGUAUAUGUAUAUAUUUUACUAAUGAGUGAAGUUAUUUAUAU
RNAcentral lists this long non-coding RNA (346 nucleotides) under Mustela putorius furo (domestic ferret). RNAcentral's name for it is "lncRNA (ENSMPUG00000025490.1)". Lineage: Eukaryota; Metazoa; Chordata; Mammalia; Carnivora; Mustelidae. The record is from RNAcentral.